This 1096-nucleotide long non-coding RNA is filed under the name Salvia miltiorrhiza (redroot sage). Its description in RNAcentral is "long non-coding RNA (SMIL_LNC004038)". Lineage: Eukaryota; Viridiplantae; Streptophyta; Magnoliopsida; Lamiales; Lamiaceae. The record is from RNAcentral.
UACUCCCUCCGUCCCAAUAAUGAAGUCCCCUUUCUUUUGGGCACGGGUAUUUAGGAGAGUUAAAGUAGAUGUAAAAACAGUGGGGACCACAUAAUUAGUGUUUUAAUUAGUAUUAUUUUAUUUCUUAAUUAACACUCACACAAAACACUCAAUCGCUAAAUCGCAGAGCCGCCUCCUCCGGCAACUCCGCCGCCAGCCUCCCUCUGAAAUCCGGCAGCCGCAGCGGUUAGCAAGGCCAACACAACAAGCUUCGAUUUCCGGCAGCCGCAGCGGUUAGCAAAGCCGCCAAUCGCCUCCCCCUUUCUCCUAACCUUCAUCUCUCUAAAUCACACUGAAACUCUAGAUCUCUACAUCUGCCCCUCAAGCUUCGAUUUCCGGCGUCCGCACUGACGCUCCUCAAGCUUCGAUUCACCUCUCUCCCGAAGCUUCGAUUCACGAUCCUCAAGCUUCAAUUCACGCUCCUCCGCCCCUCAAGCUUCGAUUCACCUCUCUCCCCCGACUGACGCUCACACAUCAACACCAACUGCACAAGCCAACACAACAAGCCAACACAACAACACCUCUCUCCGCGAACCGCCGCUGCUGUGCUCGAUUUCCGGCGAGGUAGCAGGAGCUCCACCUUCGUCGCUCCAUCUGGUCGAAUUUAAAGGUUUCUGGAAUUGGGGAAGGAAAACGGGCGGCGGUCGUAGGGGGAAGGAGGCCGGUGGCGUGAGGGAAGGAAGGCCGGCGGCGAGCCUUGUUUCAGAGAGAAAAGGCGAGGAGAGAGAGAGACGGGAAAGGAGGGAGGCGGUGAAAUUGGGGGUUGGGUGGAGACCCUCGCCGCUGCUGAGGGGCCGGCGAUUCGCCGCCCUUAUUCCUGCUGAGAGGCGGUGGAGGCGGCGAGGCGGUGGAAGGUGGAGGCGGCGAGGCGGUGAAAGAAGAAGAGGAGAGAGGGGGGAGAUGACGAUUUGAGAGAGAGAGGAGAGAAGUGAGGAGAGAGAGAGAUAAUUAAAUGUAUUAAUUGUAUGCUAAUUAAUGCCAAAAAAGGAAAGGGGACUUGAAUAUUGGGACGGCCCAAAAAGGAAUACGGGACUUGAAUAUUGGGACGGAGGGAGUA